UAGAAAACAAAUAGGGUGAUGCUGCAUGC
RNAcentral lists this non-coding RNA (29 nucleotides) under Homo sapiens (human). The record is from RNAcentral. Lineage: Eukaryota; Metazoa; Chordata; Mammalia; Primates; Hominidae.